Molecule: long non-coding RNA, 490 nt
Organism: Ruditapes philippinarum (Manila clam)
Lineage: Eukaryota; Metazoa; Mollusca; Bivalvia; Venerida; Veneridae
Exons: 2
Source: RefSeq, a predicted model, not a curated record
UUUUUUAGUAAAAGAGCAUGGGACUUGUUUUUCGAGGAAAAUUUCGUAUUUUCUAGUCAUUACAUGUACUGAUUUACUAUGGGACAAUCUUAAUUUGUCUAUCAUUUCAUGUUGUUUCAAGUCGUUUCAAGAGAUUGUUUCAAGAUGUUAUUUCAAGAGAUUGUUAGGGGAAACGCAUUGACAAAUUCCAAUAAACUUUAAAAACUGUUUAAACGUAUUCUAGUCAGUACACACUUAACUUCUCACAUGAGGAAUAACAAAAACUUCAGGUUGAACUGGGUUUGUUUGUUUUAUUUAACGCCUUUUUCAGCAGUAUUUCAGUCAUAUAGGCGGGUAGUUUCCUAACCAUCGUUCCUGGAGAGUUACACCAGUACUAGACUACCUUCCUCCGCGCUAAACUACCAAAGCAUCUCCCGGGGAUCGAACCCACGCCAGAGAGGUAACUGGAUUAGAAGUCAUCGACUCUAACCCCUCGACCACGGAGGCGGUC